This 239-nucleotide long non-coding RNA is filed under the name Vitis vinifera (wine grape). RNAcentral describes it as "long non-coding RNA (VVIN_LNC002855)". Lineage: Eukaryota; Viridiplantae; Streptophyta; Magnoliopsida; Vitales; Vitaceae. The record is from RNAcentral.
GAUUACAUUUUUUGCUACUAGGGUUUGUCCUGAGUACUGUGAUGUCAACUGAAUUGAGAAAGGAGGUUUUAAUUCAUAGCCAGCAUCCAGCUUCCAAACAGCUCCCCAUGAUUGUUGCAUGGCUCGCCAUUUUCCCGAACCCUUUAAGGUCUCCUUUAGGGCAACACCAGCAAGGUCUCCAUCCCCCUCUUCAAACUCAACCAGCACAGAGAAGGAGUUAGGGUUUGCGCCUAGGUCUA